This 902-nucleotide ribosomal RNA is filed under the name uncultured bacterium. RNAcentral's name for it is "bacterial SSU rRNA". It matches the Rfam family "Bacterial small subunit ribosomal RNA", at positions 495 to 1399 of the family's 1533-position model. The record is from RNAcentral.
UCAUAUGAUUGUGCCAGCAGCGCGCGGUAAUACGAAGGGCAAGCGUGUUCGGAAUAUUGGGCGUAAAGGGCGCGUAGGCGGUCUCAUGUGUCCGCUGUGAAAUCACACGGCUCAACCGUGUUGGGUCGGCGGAAACUGUGAGACUUGAGGCUGGGAGGGGUCGGUGGAAUUCUUCAUGUAGCGGUGAAAUGCGUAGAUAUGAGGGAGAACACUCGUGGCGAAGGCGGCCGGCUGGACCAGUUCUGACGCUGAGGCGCGAAAGCGUGGGUAGCAAACAGGAUUAGAUACCCUGGUAGUCCACGCCGUAAACGAUGGGCACUAGGUGUCGGCGGUAUUAAUCCCGUCGGUGCUGGCGCUAACGCAGUAAGUGCCCCGCCUGGGGAGUACGGUCGCAAGGCUGAAACUCAAAGAAAUUGACGGGGGCCCGCACAAGCGGUGGAGCAUGUGGUUUAAUUCGACGCAACGCGAAGAACCUUACCUGGGCUUGACAUGCACUGGACCGGCAGUGAAAGCUGUCCUCUCUUCGGAGCUAGUGCACAGGUGCUGCAUGGCUGUCGUCAGCUCGUGUCGUGAGAUGUUGGGUUAAGUCCCGCAACGAGCGCAACCCUCGCCCUCUGUUGCUAACGGGUUAUGCUGUGCACUCUGAGGGGACUGCCCCGGUUAACGGGGAGGAAGGUGGGGAUGACGUCAAGUCCUCAUGGCCUUUAUGUCCAGGGCUACACACGUGCUACAAUGGUCAGGACAAUGGGUUGCUCCUCUGCAAAGAGUCGCUAAUCCCAAAAACCUGAUCUCAGUUCGGAUGGUCGGCUGCAACUCGCCGGCCUGAAGCUGGAAUCGCUAGUAAUCGGAGAUCAGCACGCUCCGGUGAAUACGUUCCCGGGCCUUGUACACACCGCCCGUCA